Molecule: ribosomal RNA, 419 nt
Filed under: bacterium
Lineage: Bacteria
Description: partial 16S ribosomal RNA
Rfam family: Bacterial small subunit ribosomal RNA
Source: RNAcentral
UGGGGGAUAUUGCACAAUGGGCGAAAGCCUGAUGCAGCGACGCCGCGUGGGGGAUGAAGGCUUUCGGGUUGUAAACCUCUUUCGCUAUCGAACAAGGCCCGCUUAGGGUGGGUUGAGGGUAGGUGGAGAAGAAGCGCCGGCUAACUACGUGCCAGCAGCCGCGGUAAUACGUAGGGCGCGAGCGUUGUCCGGAAUUAUUGGGCGUAAAGGGCUUGUAGGCGGCUUGUUGCGCCUGCUGUGAAAACGCGGGGCUUAACUUCGCGCGUGCAGUGGGUACGGGCAGGCUUGAGUGUGGUAGGGGUGACUGGAAUUCCAGGUGUAGCGGUGGAAUGCGAGAUAUCUGGAGGAACACCGAUGGCGAAGGCAGGUCACUGGGCCAUUACUGACGCUGAGGAGCGAAAGCAUGGGUAGCGAACAGG